CAGUUUCCUGGAUUGAGUUUUCUU
This 24-nucleotide non-coding RNA is filed under the name Arabidopsis thaliana (thale cress). Lineage: Eukaryota; Viridiplantae; Streptophyta; Magnoliopsida; Brassicales; Brassicaceae. The record is from RNAcentral.